This 792-nucleotide ribosomal RNA is filed under the name Triticum aestivum (bread wheat). RNAcentral's name for it is "partial small subunit ribosomal RNA". The record is from RNAcentral. Lineage: Eukaryota; Viridiplantae; Streptophyta; Magnoliopsida; Poales; Poaceae.
AUGAUGCCUACAAAGACUUGGAAGGAGAAGCGCAUCGCAGCAGAAGAAAAUAAAAAUACGGAUGACAUCAUUAUUGUAGAAAAUUCAGAGAAUAAUAAAGAUGUACCAACUGAUAUGGAUGUUAAUAUGGUGUUCGCAUUGCCUAUUGAAUUUCGCGCGCCCGAGGCAGAAAUUGCUGAACUUGUUCUUGGCCCAAAGAAUGCUAUAUUUGAGAAACCAGAGAAGCAUGGGCAGCACCUAAAGCCAUUAUUUAUCAGAGGUCACAUUGAUGGUAAGCCUAUUGGUCGCAUGCUUGUUGAUGGUGGUGCAGGUGUUAAUAUUAUGCCCUUUUUGGUAUUUUCUAAACUGAACCGAAAAGGGAGCAAGUUAAUGAAGACCAACAUGGGAGUUAGUGGGUUCUCAGGAGAAUUGUCCGAGGCUAAGGGUGUUAUUUCUAUGGAGCUCACAGUCGGAAGCAAAACAUUGUCGACUGCAUUUUUUGUUGUCGAUGUCAAAGGCCGGUAUAAUAUUCUUCUGGGACGCAACUGGAUUCAUGCAAAUUGUUGUAUCCCUUCUACUCUUCAUCAAUGCUUAAUUCAGUGGGUUAAUGAUGAUGUCGAGGUGAUUGAGGCGGACAAUUCUUCUUGCAUUGCUUUGACGGAGGCACCAGUUGAUUGGCAACACGGUGACAUGCGAUGUUUGACCGGUAGGGAUAUAUCGGAUUAUGAUUAUAUCAGUAUCGGUAGAGAUGGUUUUGUACCUAUAAAUGCACAGCCGGCUGACAUAGCUCGGCUUAAUGAUUUAUCCAUAUAA